UCCCUGGUAGCUCAGAUGGUAAAGCGUCUGCCCGCAAUGCAGGGGACCAGGGUUCGAUCCCCAGGUUGGGAA
Molecule: transfer RNA, 72 nt
Filed under: Ovis aries (sheep)
Lineage: Eukaryota; Metazoa; Chordata; Mammalia; Artiodactyla; Bovidae
Rfam family: tRNA
About the family: Transfer RNA (tRNA) molecules are approximately 80 nucleotides in length.
Source: Rfam by way of RNAcentral